UAAGACGAACCGUGCGAACGUUAUUCGGAAUCACUGGGCUUAAAGCGCGUGUAGGCGGAUGAGCACGUCUGUCGCUGAAAUCCCCCGGCUCAACCGGGGAACGGGCGCGGAUACGGCUUGUCUGGAGGGGCGUAGGGGGACCUGGAACUUCCGGUGGAGCGGUGAAAUGCGUUGAGAUCGGAAGGAA
Molecule: ribosomal RNA, 187 nt
Filed under: uncultured bacterium
Lineage: Bacteria
Description: partial 16S ribosomal RNA
Rfam family: Bacterial small subunit ribosomal RNA
Source: RNAcentral